Molecule: transfer RNA, 73 nt
Filed under: Chloroidium sp. KL-2023a
Lineage: Eukaryota; Viridiplantae; Chlorophyta; Trebouxiophyceae; Watanabeales; Watanabeaceae
Description: tRNA-Ala
Rfam family: tRNA
About the family: Transfer RNA (tRNA) molecules are approximately 80 nucleotides in length. Their secondary structure includes four short double-helical elements and three loops (D, anti-codon, and T loops).
Source: RNAcentral
GGGGAUUUAGCUCAGUUGGUAGAGCACUGCUUUUGCACGGCAGGGGUCAGCGGUUCGAGUCCGCUAAUCUCCA